GAUGAACGCUGGCGGCGUGCCUAAUACAUGCAAGUCGAGCGAACAGAUGAGGAGCUUGCUCCUCUGACGUUAGCGGCGGACGGGUGAGUAACACGUGGAUAACCUACCUAUAAGACUGGGAUAACUUCGGGAAACCGGAGCUAAUACCGGAUAAUAUAUUGAACCGCAUGGUUCAAUAGUGAAAGACGGUUUUGCUGUCACUUAUAGAUGGAUCCGCGCCGCAUUAGCUAGUUGGUAAGGUAACAGCUUACCAAGGCAACGAUGCGUAGCCGACCUGAGAGGGUGAUCGGCCACACUGGAACUGAGACACGGUCCAGACUCCUACGGGAGGCAGCAGUAGGGAAUCUUCCGCAAUGGGCGAAAGCCUGACGGAGCAACGCCGCGUGAGUGAUGAAGGUCUUCGGAUCGUAAAACUCUGUUAUUAGGGAAGAACAAAUGUGUAAGUAACUAUGCGCGUCUUGACGGUACCUAAUCAGAAAGCCACGGCUAACUACGUG
RNAcentral lists this ribosomal RNA (497 nucleotides) under uncultured bacterium. RNAcentral's name for it is "partial 16S ribosomal RNA". It matches the Rfam family "Bacterial small subunit ribosomal RNA", at positions 28 to 507 of the family's 1533-position model. The record is from RNAcentral.